GUGUGACUUCGGCCAUCGCUCUGGUAGUCCCGGUAGCUGACGAACUCCUGCCAAGGGCAGCGGUAGCCCUUGGAGAUGGCGGUGUGGUUGAACUUCUCUGGCGGGACGCCCUUCAGCGGCUCCGCAUAGCCUAGGGGCGCGGGGGGAAGGGAGCGCCUCCGUUCUUCCACCCUCAGCCCCCAACCCCACCUCGCCCCACCCCCAUUCCGCGGACGCGGUUGGAGGAGGGAAGAUCGGAGUUAGGGGAGAGGACGGCGGGAAUGGGAAGCCACAGUUGCUCCAGCACAGGAGACCCCUCCCCAUCCCAGGAAACACGGAGGACUGCAGUGAGGAAGCCACGAGUUCGCAGCGCGGGUCUUUGCCCAUAAUGGUGGAGGUAGUGAGAAAUGGUCAGAUUCUCGAUAUUUUUUAAAGCAGUUUCUAUGGAGUGUUUGGGUGUGAAAGCCUAACUGGAGAGGGUUCAAGAGAAAAUGGACAGAAGAACAAGUUUAACCACACCAUGAGGAAGCGAUAAGCCAAAUCCAGGACGCAGGACAUUCUACAGGACAACUGGCCUGGUUUUUCAAACAAACGAGUUUCACUCUUGUUGCCCAGGCUGGAGUGCAAUGGCAUGAUCUCGGCUCACUGCAACCUCUGCCUCCCGGGUUCAAGCGAUUCUCCUGCCUCAGCCUCCCGAGUAGCUGGAAUUGCAGGCAUGCACCAUCACGCCUGGCUAAUUUUGUAUUUAUAGUAGAGAUGGGGUUUCUCCAUGUUGGUCAGGCUGGUCUCGAGCUCCCAACCUCAGGUCAUCCGCUUGCCUCAGUCUCCCAAAGUGCUGGGAUUACAGGCGUGAGCCACCUCCCCCAGCUGAGCUCAAUAUUUAAAAAAAAAAAAUGGCAGGCACAGUGGCUCACAACUAUAAUCCCAGCACUUGCAGAGGGCAAAGUGGGUGGAUUGCUUGGGCCCAGGAGUUCAAGACCAGCCUGGGCAAUAUAGCAAGACCCUGUCUCUAUUAAAAAAUAAAAAAAGAUAAAAUCUAUUUGACUGAGUAUUUCUAUUUCUAGGAAUUUAUUCUCGGGGAAAAAGUUGAAUAAAUAUGUCCAAAGAUA
Molecule: long non-coding RNA, 1088 nt
Filed under: Homo sapiens (human)
Lineage: Eukaryota; Metazoa; Chordata; Mammalia; Primates; Hominidae
Description: MYOZ3 antisense RNA 1, transcript variant 8 (MYOZ3-AS1)
Source: RNAcentral